Pristis pectinata (smalltooth sawfish) is the source of this 1336-nucleotide long non-coding RNA. RefSeq lists it as uncharacterized. The transcript has 2 exons. Lineage: Eukaryota; Metazoa; Chordata; Chondrichthyes; Rhinopristiformes; Pristidae. The record is from RefSeq and is a predicted model, not a curated record.
UCCGUGAUUUCGGCCUCACGAUCAACCCGUCCAAGUGCCAAUUUGGGCUUGACUCUAUUGAUUUCCUCGGCCACAAAAUCACCAGUGACGGGGCAACACCCCUACCCGCCAAGGUAGACGCAAUCUGCCAUUUUGCCCACCCCGACACAGUCGAAGGCCUACAGGAAUUCCUUGGGAUGGUCAACUUCAUCCCUGCAGCAGCUCGUAUCAUGCGCCCUCUGUUCUUGCUGAUGGCUGGUAAGGGCAAGGACAUCACCUGGAAUGACGAGGCUGCGGCUGCUUUCGUUAAGGCCAAAGAUGCCCUGGCAGAUGCCACGAUGCUUGUACACCCUAAGACAGACGUCCCGACCGCCCUCACGGUGGAUGUGUCCAACAAGGCAGUGGGUGGGGUACUGGAACAGCUAAUCGAAGGCCGUUGGCAACCCUUGGCAUUUGUCAGCAAGCACCUUAGACCACCUGAACUGAAAUACAGCGCUUUUGAUUCGGGAACUUCUAGCGCUGUAUCUGGCGGUCCGGCAUUUUCGGUACUUUCUAGAAGGCAGGCCUUUCACCGCUUUCACCGAUCAUAAGCCUUUGUCCUUUGUCUUCUCCAAAGUCUCCGAUCCCUGGUCAGCUCGUCAGCAGAGACAUUUAUCCUACAUUUCCAAAUUCACAACAGAUAUCCAACAUGUCUCCAGAAAGGAUAAUGUCAUUGCUGAUGCACUUUCCAGACCAACCAUCCACAACCUGUCCUUGGGUGUCGACUACACGGCCCUAGCUGACGCACAGCAAGCCGACGACGAGCUGCCCAGCUACAGAACCGCAGUCUCGGGCCUGCAGCUCCAAGAUUUCUUGGUUGGUCCAGGGGCACACCUUGGGCGCCGUUGCAACGACCAUAUGAGGGACCGUUCCGAGUCAUCCGGAAUAAUGGAUCCACCUUUAUUUUGGACGUUGGGCACAGGGAACAGGUUUUCAUGAUGGACCGCCUCAAACCGGCCCAUUUAGAUCUGCAACAACCGGUCGAGGUUUCAACGCCGCGACGCAGAGGCCGACCCCCUAAGCGACGGCUGGCACAGCCUGCGGACCUUGGGGACUGUAUUGCCGGUUCUGGGGGGGGUUGUGUAGCGACUCACCGUCCGGUGAGGUGAACCGGCUCGGCAGUCCGGUCGCGUGGUGUCGGAGCGACGAGGCCCAAGAUGGUGGCGGGCCUCGUCUUUCCCCAGCGACGGGGAGAACCCGCGCGCGGGAAGGACUUGAUGACGUAGUACUUACGUCAUUGCCGGUUGCAUUGGGCGGGAACAGUCUCCCUUAAAAGGCCCGUGCAAGGCGGGAAAAUAAACCAGUUCUUGUUUGACAA